Molecule: ribosomal RNA, 116 nt
Filed under: Pteropus alecto (black flying fox)
Lineage: Eukaryota; Metazoa; Chordata; Mammalia; Chiroptera; Pteropodidae
Source: RNAcentral
GUCUAUGGCCAUGCCACCCCGAACAAGCCUGAUGUCUGAUCUCAGAAACUAAGCAGGGUCGAGCCUGGUUAGUACUUGGAUCGGAGACCACCUAGGAAGACUAGGUACUGUAGGCA